This 1247-nucleotide long non-coding RNA is filed under the name Equus caballus (horse). Its description in RNAcentral is "lncRNA (ENSECAG00000041506.2)". The record is from RNAcentral. Lineage: Eukaryota; Metazoa; Chordata; Mammalia; Perissodactyla; Equidae.
GGGCAGACUAGAGGCAAGAGGAAGGCUGUAGUCACCUCCACACUGGGGGGGGGGGGGGGGGGGGGGGGNNNNNNNNNNNNNNNNNNNNGGGGGGGGGGGGGGGGGGGGUAACCAAUACCUAUUGGGAAGGGUUAUGGGCUGAAUUGCGUCCCCAAAAUUCGUGUUGAAGCCCUAACGCCGAGGACCUCAGGAUGUGGCUGUAGUUGGAGAAGAGGCCUUCACAGAGAUGAUCAGGGGCCGGCAUGCGGUGGAGCCCGCUUCUGCCUGGGGUCAGGCCGCCGGGAGGAAGAGGAGGCAGCGCUGGAGCCAGAUUGCAGCGAACACAGUUGUCACCUGGAGAAGCCCAGGGUAAUUACAACCAAAGGGGGACACCAACAGGAACGAAAAUUUGUGCUUAAUCCUGGAGGAAAGAUACCCAGCCCCAGGUCUAGGAUGAGGCCCAGGCCGUGGAGGGGGUUGGGGUGGGAAGUCAGGACCCGGGCCGUGGCGUCAGCGUGAACCGCAGGCGGGAAGGGCUUUAGGGCCCGCCGGGAACAGUGGGCGCAGGGUCUGGCCGAGGGGACCCGCGUAACAAAGGCGCGCUUCCGUGGGGAGGCCGUCGUAGUGAUGAGUGAUUGUAGCCCGGGAGCAUCCCGCGGAGCCCAUGGGACACAGAGGAGGAACCAGGAGAGUCGGGGCAGGCGUCGCGGAGGAGGAGAAGCCAGCUGAUGCGUCAUGAGGACCCCCUAUAGCAUCCCUAUGGAGAGGUCCACAGGGUGAGGAUUUGAGGCCUCCUACCAAUAACCAGCAUGAAUUUGCAGGUCUUCAGAUCAAGAGAAACUACACUUGAACUAUACUCGGAACUAUUUAGUGAAGGAACUAUACCUGAAGAGCUUCCUCUACCCCAGGACCUGAUUGAGAUGACACCAGCUGCCAUGUCAUGAGAGAACACUCCAGCUCUGUGGAGAGGUCCACAUGGUGAGGAAUUGAGACCCCCUGCCAACAACCAGCACUAACAUAGCAAGCAUGUGAGUAAGCCACCGUGAAAGCAGAGCCUCCAGCCCCAGUCAAGCCUUCAGAUGACCACAGCCCUGGCCAACAUCUUGACCAAAACCUCAUGAUACAUCCUGGGGCAGAACCAUCCAGCUAAGCUGCUCCUGAGUUCUUGACUCACAGGAAUUGUGUGAGAUGAUAAAUAUCUAUUGUUUUAAGCCUCUAAGUUCUGGGGUAAUUUGCUAUGUAAUAAUAAAUAAUACAUCAUUAUUUAA